This 446-nucleotide ribosomal RNA is filed under the name uncultured bacterium. RNAcentral's name for it is "partial 16S ribosomal RNA". It matches the Rfam family "Bacterial small subunit ribosomal RNA", at positions 338 to 795 of the family's 1533-position model. The record is from RNAcentral.
CCUACGGGAGGCAGCAGUCGAGAAUCAUUCACAAUGGGGGAAACCCUGAUGGUGCGACGCCGCGUGGGGGAAUGAAGGCCUUCGGAUUGUAAACCCCUGUCAUGUGGGAGCAAAUUAAAAAGAUAGUACCACUAGAGGAAGAGACGGCUAACUCGGUGCCAGCAGCCGCGGUAAUACAGAGGUCUCAAGCGUUGUUCGGAAUCACUGGGCGUAAAGCGUGCGUAGGCUGUUUCGUAAGUCGUGUGUGAAAGGCGCGGGCUCAACCCGCGGACGGCACAUGAUACUGCGAGACUAGAGUAAUGGAGGGGGAACCGGAAUUCUCGGUGUAGCAGUGAAAUGCGUAGAUAUCGAGAGGAACACUCGUGGCGAAGGCGGGUUCCUGGACAUUAACUGACGCUGAGGCACGAAGGCCAGGGGAGCGAAAGGGAUUAGAUACCCUUGUAGUC